CAAGCAUUCGGAGGAUGGAUGAACAGUAAGAGUUCAGAGUGUUUCCCAUCACACUGAAGUUCAGCUUCUACCAGGGCUCUCAUUCUUUUGAAAAACACUUGACUGUGAUCAGUGAUACAAGAGCUGAAAACCACUUUAUGACCACCAUCGAAGGAAAGAGCCCCAUGGGGGAUAAUGUUUGCCAAACAUCGGCAGCAGGAAAGGCGAGUUUGCCCACCAAUGGAGCAGAUAGAUCCCUCUGGCAGAGUACCAGGUGACAAUGAAGAAGUCCUGGUGCUGAACCCAAGAGGACUUCAUGUGGACCAAGAGAACGUGGAUAACUGUGAUCCUGGGAGCCGUUGUGGCAGGUGCUUUGUGACAUCGAAUGAAGUCACUGGGCAACUACUGCUGACGGUAUGCCAACGCCCAUCAGCUCUAGACACUGAAGGAUGGACAAUGAAGUACUGUGAAUAAGGAGAGGGCUGAGGGCCCUUGGAAAGAAACUGACUGUGAUUUGGAAUAAUGGCUGGUGGUCCCCAUCUGAAGGCUUUAAGGUAAUAGUUACAAUGACCCUUAGUCUUUCCCUCCUGCUGUGGACUAAAUUUUUGUGUCUUCCCCCUUCCCUAGAAUUCAUAUGUUGAAAUCCUACCCCUCAAUGUGAUGGUCUUUGGAAUUAGCACCUUAGGGAGGUGAUUAGGUCAUGCAAGUGGAGUCCAUGAAGGGAUUAGUAACCUUAUAAGAUGGAGCCAAGAGCCUCCUCUCUCUGUCUCCCUGUCUCUCUUGUGCCCUCUCUAUCCACCCCACCAUCACCAUGUGAGGACACAGCAAGACAGCCAUCUGAAAACCAAGAAAAGGGCUUUCAUCAGAUACUGGAUCUGCUAUGAACUUGAGCUUAUAUUUCCCAGCCUCCAGAACCAUAAGAAAUAAAUGUUCGUUGUUAAGCUCCCCAGCUACAGUAUCUUGUUAGCAGUCUAAAGGGAUAAAAAUACCUUCCAAGGCUUCCGGAAGUGACUUUGCCAUUUUCAACUCAUGGGAUAGCCUUCAAUAGUGUCACUCAAAGGUGCAUAUGGUAAAACAGUGGAAGUAUUUAUUCUUUUCCAUUUGAACAUUGAAAUAUUGGUGAAAAAUUUUCUGGAAAAAGAGAAAUAAUCCCUGAGCGGGCCCCCAUGAAGAUAAGGAAGGAAGUAAUUUGAGAGGUAAACCAGGACUCACCUCAGAGCACCCCUGAGGUGCUGCCCACAUAUACCAGAGGUGUAGACACAGAGUGCCAGUGUGUCUGGGCACCCUGCAAGACCAUCACUCAGAUCCAAUUCAUGGAUUUCUCUUGGAAAUGAGUUUCAAUGACCCAGAGUGAAGAAGGAGUCCAGGGGCCAAGCCUAUAGUGUGAACCAUUGGAUGAGAAGUUGGAUGGUCUGAUUGGAGAGCUCGCCUGAGAAAAGUAUGGGAGCCUCCCCUUCUAUGGCAAACUGAGUAGUAGGAGUCAAUCAAUCUGAUCUAUCCAACUAGAAAAGCUGCAUAAAACAUAAGAAAUAUCUGCUAAAAGACAUCAGAUUAGCAACAGGAUUACAAAGAAUGACAACAUGUGGGGCCAUUUUUAGUCCAGGAGUGACUACCAAUUCCACAAGAAUGGAAACAUCAGAGUUUGGGACCCAUCAAGAAUAAAAGGACUAGUGGGAGUGAGAUACUCUUUGCUUUGAGAGAUCAAAGGAUUGCCUUCUAGGAGAAGCAAGGAAAUUAGCCUUUAUAGGGACUAGAGCCUGGCUUCAGUCCUGAGAGUGGCCCAGGAGACCUCAAUUCCUGAAUUGUAUGAAAGGGAUCUUGACGGCCAUGAACAUGCCAGAAACAAUCGGAAAUUAUCUGUAAAAAGACAAUAACAUUACCCCAUCCUUCAAACUUUUUCUACAAAAAAAAGCUUUGCACAUAUAAUAUCUGACUCACAAUAAAAGAUAACCAAGCAGUCAAGAACACAAACCAACACAAAUAAAAACUAGCAGAAACACUGAGCAAUUGAAACAGGCCCACACAAGUUCCAGAUUUUGAAGAUACCAUUCACAGAUUCUUAAUUAGCUAUGUUUACUACUUUCAGGGAGAUAAAAGACAAGAUUAAGAUUUUGGUGCAUUUGAAGCUGUUUUUUAUAGCAUAAAUGAAAGAAGCCAGAUUCAAAGGUCUAUAUAUUGUGUGACUCCAUUCAUAUGACAUUCUGCCAAAGGCAGAAAACACAUCAGCAAUUGCUUGGGUUGGGGAUCAGGAAGUGGCUGACCUCAAAGGGGAACUUUUAGGGCUAUGGAACUGUCUGCCUGGUACUGGGGUGGUGGAUACAAGACUCUGCAUUGAUCAAAACUAGAACUAUACAUCACAGACUGCACUAUACAGUAUGCAAACUUUGAGCAUGUGAAGGAGUUGGGGGGACCCCAGCAUGGAAUAUAGACUGUGACCACAGACUCUGACCAUAUCACAAAUGUAUGAUGUGGCCUCUGGGAAGGAGGUGGACAAAAGCAGCUGACCUAAGUAACUUGGGAAAAUGGUGUUUUGACUGGAAACUGAAAGACUGCAAACAUAAGCAACUAUACUUAAACACUGCUCUAGUUUCUCACGAGAUAGACAAUUAUGAAACUGCUUCACGUGUUUGCUGGGAUUGAACAAACAGGUGGCCACAUGGCGGAUGGUGGGAGCCAGCGUCUCACUGCUGGAGAGAGAGGUAAUAGAUCACAGUGGCAGGGGGCAGGAAUGAGUCCUUCCUCAGGGGCUGCCCCAGAACCUGAGACAUCACUGUGAUGUGAACACGGGCUUAGUUCAGUGUGCAGGGACAAGUGGAGAAAUGACUAAAAGCAUAUGUGUGUAAAUGAGCUGGGACAAACAUGUUUCCUGGCUCUGUCUGCUGGGAGGGGCCAGGAGCAGCAGUACUCCAGGAGCAUGGAGCAUACCCCGCACCCGUUUCUUGGUUUCUAAAUACCAUAUUCAUGGGACACCUGGGUGGUUCAGCGGUUGAGUGUCUGCCUUUGGCUCAGGGCAUGAUUCCUGAGUCCCAGGAUCAAGUCCGACAUUGAGCUCCCCACGGGAAGCUUGCUUCUCCCUCUGCCUAUGUCUCUGCCUCUUUCUCUGUGUUUCUCAUGAAAAAAUAAAAUCUUUUAAAAAUGUAAAUAAAUAAAUAAAUAAAUAAAUAAAUAAAUAAAUAAAUACCAUAUUCCAACAAAAGGAAUCAGGGCUUCUAGGGAAAUGGCUGAUUCUAGGGUGUAGUAGCUGGAAGCAGCAGUGGCCUGGACUAUGGCAUCUCUGGUUCUGGGAAGCAAGCCAGGAUGAGAGAUGGAGGUACACAUCCAUCUGCUUCUCUCAGCCUGUGGCAUGGAAGGCUGAAGAGAGCAGGUGGCUAGAGGAGAGUCAGCUACCCAAGAAUGAGAACUCUCUUUGCCACCAGGAUACAGAGGUGAAUGUCCUUUACCACAUUUCUAUGAGUGAGGUUGUACAUACAUCCCCCACAGUAAGUGCUUAAGAGACAGUGGGUAGAAAUACACAUUUCUUAGUUGGUGGCCAAGAACUUUUCUCCUUUAUUGCACACUUACUAGUAUAUAUUACUAUACUAACACUGAGUUUAAUAGUUGUUGUGGAUAGUACAGAAAAAGGAUUUCUGUAAUUAAAAAGGAAUUCCAUAAAAUGUUAGUGUAUGAGUCCAUAAAG
Molecule: long non-coding RNA, 3655 nt
Filed under: Canis lupus familiaris (dog)
Lineage: Eukaryota; Metazoa; Chordata; Mammalia; Carnivora; Canidae
Description: lncRNA (ENSCAFG00845020598.1)
Source: RNAcentral